GCCCCCUUAGCUUAAUGGGAUAAAGCACAGGCCUCCGGAGCCUGGGAUGGGAGUUCGAUUCUCCCAGGGGGCG
Candidatus Omnitrophica bacterium 4484_49 is the source of this 73-nucleotide non-coding RNA. The record is from Rfam. NCBI's taxonomy places the organism in Bacteria, Pseudomonadati, Candidatus Omnitrophota.